GCUGGGUGUGGUGGCGGGCACUUGUAAUCCCAGAUGCUCAGGAAGCUGAGGCAGGGGAAUCACUUGAACCCGGGAGGCACAGGUUGCAGUGAGUCGAGAUUGUACCGCUGCACUCCAGCCUGGGUAACAGAGUGAGACUCUGUCUCAA
RNAcentral lists this non-coding RNA (148 nucleotides) under Homo sapiens (human). Lineage: Eukaryota; Metazoa; Chordata; Mammalia; Primates; Hominidae. The record is from Rfam by way of RNAcentral.